Molecule: transfer RNA, 74 nt
Filed under: Caudoviricetes sp.
Lineage: Duplodnaviria; Heunggongvirae; Uroviricota; Caudoviricetes
Description: tRNA-Met
Rfam family: tRNA
About the family: Transfer RNA (tRNA) molecules are approximately 80 nucleotides in length.
Source: RNAcentral
GUGCCCGUAGUUCAAUCGGUUAGAGCAUCCGCCUCAUAAGCGGCAGGUUGUGGGUUCGAGUCCCACCGGGCACA